GUGUGGACAGCCUACACCAAGGGAAGAGUCAGGGGAGAAGGAACACAAGACUCCGGAAGCAUGCCAGCGUAUAAAACCACACUUUGCCUCAUUGGUUCGUGCCUCAGCUUCCAAUCUGGACAUGGAGCACAAUAACAGUGGGCCCACUGCUCUCCGAAUUCCUGCGCGCACUUGAAGGGCCAGAAAAGCAAAUUAAACUGGAAUGUUAUGGAGACCACUAUCCCUGCCUCCUUUCCUUUUUUAAAGGUGGCACUAAUUUCUGUAAUUCUUUCCAAGAUGUGGCUUUCCUUCUGAUAUACCAUCAUGGCUGGAAGAGAAGAUAUGGGUGAGCUUAGAGGCUUCCACUUGGCCAUUUUUACCAUAAUAGCUCUAUUCAACAGGUCAAGAGAGAAAUCUGAGGACUUUUCCAGUUUUUAAUUAUAACCAUCCCAAUUAUGCACUCAGGGGCCUAACCAUCACUGGUAGGUUUAUGUAGCCCAUGUGAAGUAGACUUGGACUGGGACUCCAUAUAUCUCCUGGCUUUCAUAAGCUUCUGCUCUAACUUGGGGACUAUGCUGGCAUUUCAGGCCCCCUGGCAGAAUUAUCAGCUAAGACUGUGUGUCUAAUAGCCCUCAAAAAUCUGGGUAUUUCCGUUUUCCCUAGUGUAUCUGGGAAAAGGCUGC
Molecule: long non-coding RNA, 662 nt
Filed under: Homo sapiens (human)
Lineage: Eukaryota; Metazoa; Chordata; Mammalia; Primates; Hominidae
Description: GPRC5D and HEBP1 antisense RNA 1, transcript variant 7 (GPRC5D-AS1)
Source: RNAcentral